UAAUGAUGGCAGAGAGGUCACACCCGUUCCCAUACCGAACACGGAAGUUAAGCUCUCUAGCGCCGAUGGUAGUUGGGACCUUGUCCCUGUGAGAGUAGGACGUUGCCAGGC
This 111-nucleotide ribosomal RNA is filed under the name Bacillus anthracis (anthrax bacterium). RNAcentral also lists the same sequence under 367 other names. Lineage: Bacteria; Bacillati; Bacillota; Bacilli; Caryophanales; Bacillaceae. The record is from RNAcentral.